AUGAAGUCUGCAGGAAAGAGGCUUUUGGCCCGCCGAAGGAGUAAAACUCUCAGGUACCCGUAUUUCGGGCAGAAA
Molecule: non-coding RNA, 75 nt
Filed under: Blautia sp. CAG:257
Lineage: Bacteria; Bacillati; Bacillota; Clostridia; Lachnospirales; Lachnospiraceae
Also listed under: 1 other name
Description: Glycine riboswitch aptamer
Rfam family: Glycine riboswitch aptamer
About the family: This family represents the bacterial glycine riboswitch. Glycine riboswitches usually consist of two metabolite-binding aptamers domains with similar structures in tandem. The aptamers cooperatively bind glycine to regulate the expression of downstream genes.
Source: Rfam by way of RNAcentral